Molecule: RNase P RNA, 351 nt
Filed under: Neisseriaceae bacterium
Lineage: Bacteria; Pseudomonadati; Pseudomonadota; Betaproteobacteria; Neisseriales; Neisseriaceae
Description: RNase P RNA component class A
Rfam family: Bacterial RNase P class A
About the family: Ribonuclease P (RNase P) is a ubiquitous endoribonuclease, found in archaea, bacteria and eukarya as well as chloroplasts and mitochondria. Its best characterised activity is the generation of mature 5'-ends of tRNAs by cleaving the 5'-leader elements of precursor-tRNAs.
Source: RNAcentral
AAAGUUGGCCAGACAGUCGUCGCGUGUUUACACGGGGAGGAAAGUCCGGGCUCCAUAGAGCAAAAUGCCAGCUAACGGCUGGGUGUCGAAAGGCAACGGAAAGUGGUGCAGAGACUUAGACCGCCGAUGGCUGCUUCGGCAGCACAGGUAAGGGUGAGAAGGUGCGGUAAGAGCGCACCGCGCAACGGGUAACCGAAGCGGCAAGCUAAACCCCAUUUGGAGCAAGACCAAACAGAAGGCCAUGAUGCGGCUCGUAUCGUCUUCGGGUAGGUUGCUUGAGCGUGCUGGUAACGGUACGCCUAGAUGAAUGACUGUCCUAGACAGAACCCGGCUUAUCGACCGACUUUUACG